UACGAAGGGUGCAAGCGUUACUCGGAAUUACUGGGCGUAAAGCGUGCGCAGGCGGUGAUGUAAGACAGUUGUGAAAUCCCCGGGCUCAACCUGGGAACUGCAUCUGUGACUGCAUCGCUGGAGUACGGUAGAGGGGGAUGGAAUUCCGCGUGUAGCAGUGAAAUGCGUAGAUAUGCGGAGGAACACCGAUGGCGAAGGCAAUCCCCUGGACCUGUACUGACGCUCAUGCACGAAAGCGUGGGGAGCAAACAGG
Molecule: ribosomal RNA, 253 nt
Filed under: uncultured bacterium
Lineage: Bacteria
Description: partial 16S ribosomal RNA
Rfam family: Bacterial small subunit ribosomal RNA
Source: RNAcentral